Molecule: ribosomal RNA, 465 nt
Filed under: uncultured bacterium
Lineage: Bacteria
Description: partial 16S ribosomal RNA
Rfam family: Bacterial small subunit ribosomal RNA
Source: RNAcentral
CCUACGGGAGGCAGCAGUGGGGAAUAUUGCGCAAUGGGCGAAAGCCUGACGCAGCGACACCGCGUGAGGGAUGAAGGUCUUCGGAUCGUACACCUCUGUCAGCAGGGAAGAACGGUCACUGUGCUAAUCAGCAGUGAAUUGACGGUACCUGCAAAGGACGCACCGGCUAACUACGAGCCAGCAGCCGCGGUAAUACGGAGGGUGCGAGCGUUAAUCGGAAUUACUGGGAGUAAAGCGCUCGUAGGGGGUAUGUCAUGUCAAGGGUGAAAUACCCGCGCUCAACGUGGGAACUGCCUUUGAAACUGGCAAACUGGAGUGUGUGAGAGGAUAGUGGAAUUCCAGGUGUAGGAGUGAAAUCCGUAGAUAUCUGGAGGAACAUCAGUGGCGAAGGCGACUAUCUGGCACAUAACUGACGCUGAGGAGCGAAAGCGUGGGUAGCAAACAGGAUUAGAUACCCUAGUAGUC